AUUGAACGCUGGCGGCAGGCCUAACACAUGCAAGUCGAGCGGAUGAAGGGAGCUUGCUCCUGGAUUCAGCGGCGGACGGGUGAGUAAUGCCUAGGAAUCUGCCUGGUAGUGGGGGAUAACGUCCGGAAACGGGCGCUAAUACCGCAUACGUCCUGAGGGAGAAAGUGGGGGAUCUUCGGACCUCCCGCUAUCGGAUGAGCCUAGGUCGGAUUAGCUAGUUGGUGGGGUAAAGGCCUACCAAGGCGACGAUCCGUAACUGGUCUGAGAGGAUGAUCAGUCACACUGGAACUGAGACACGGUCCAGACUCCUACGGGAGGCAGCAGUGGGGAAUAUUGGACAAUGGGCGAAAGCCUGAUCCAGCCAUGCCGCGUGUGUGAAGAAGGUCUUCGGAUUGUAAAGCACUUUAAGUUGGGAGGAAGGGCAGUAAGUUAAUACCUUGCUGUUUUGACGUUACCAACAGAAUAAGCACCGGCUAACUUCGUG
RNAcentral lists this ribosomal RNA (484 nucleotides) under uncultured bacterium. Its description in RNAcentral is "partial 16S ribosomal RNA". It matches the Rfam family "Bacterial small subunit ribosomal RNA", at positions 30 to 507 of the family's 1533-position model. The record is from RNAcentral.